This 21-nucleotide unclassified non-coding RNA is filed under the name Dictyostelium discoideum. Lineage: Eukaryota; Evosea; Eumycetozoa; Dictyosteliales; Dictyosteliaceae. The record is from RNAcentral.
UCCCAAACUUCAAGCCGAUGC